RNAcentral lists this long non-coding RNA (494 nucleotides) under Olea europaea (common olive). RNAcentral describes it as "long non-coding RNA (OEUR_LNC008569)". Lineage: Eukaryota; Viridiplantae; Streptophyta; Magnoliopsida; Lamiales; Oleaceae. The record is from RNAcentral.
AACGUACCAAAUAUGUCUUACACUAAUUUGUUUAUUACCAUAUAAAUUCACUACUAUGUAAUAGCUAACAGGCUGUAAAACCUUAAUUGCAGUAAAUUACUAGCAUUGAGACUUGAAAAAAAUUUAUGCAUCUGCCGACAGAGAAUUCAAAGUUUCAAACCGUCCUAAAUAUUGUAUCAAACGUCAAAUACUAUGAGAAAUUGACAUGACUUUGUGCCAAACCUUGGAGUGUACUCACAUCAUGUCCUAACUACUUAUAUCCUCUGCAACAAACCAUUCCCUUUGACAUUUUCUCAAUAACCUUAGUCGUAUACACAAAAUAUUCCAUUUUUUAUACCAUAUAUUCUCUAUCUCGAUCUGAUAGUCACAAGAUUUUCUCUUCGUUUCCUCAGCCAAAAGACAGACAUCAAUUUUCGCGGUCGAUGGGUGUAAAGAACAUUUUCGCUCUUGUAACGGCGUCCCUGCUGUUCACAGUCGGCGUCGCCUGCUCAAAU